Molecule: ribosomal RNA, 221 nt
Filed under: Vibrio parahaemolyticus
Lineage: Bacteria; Pseudomonadati; Pseudomonadota; Gammaproteobacteria; Vibrionales; Vibrionaceae
Description: partial 23S ribosomal RNA
Rfam family: Bacterial large subunit ribosomal RNA
Source: RNAcentral
UCCCGUACUUCUUACAAUUGCGAUGGGGGGACGGAGAAGGCUAGGUGGGCCUGGCGACGGUUGUCCAGGUUCAAGUGCGUAGGCUUAAGAGUUAGGUAAAUCCGGCUCUUUUUAAGGCUGAGACACGACGUCGAGCACCUACGGGUGUGAAGUCAUUGAUGCCAUGCUUCCAGGAAAAGCCUCUAAGCUUCAGAUUGUAAGGAAUCGUACCCCAAACCGAC